AUGUUCAGUGGACUAAAGAGAAGUAUGAGGACAGUGUCUCACCCAAUAGAAAAUAUCAUAGAGGGAGAAAUUACUAAAAAAAAAAAAAAAGAACCAAAUAGAAAUUCUGGAGUUGAAAACUACAAUAAUUAAAAUUUAAAAAUUCAUUAGAAAUGCUUAACAGUAGAUUUGAGCAGGGAAAACAGCCAAUGAACUCAAAGAUGUAUCAAUUGAGAUUAUGCAUUCUGAGAAACAGAGCAGAGAGAAUGAAGAAAAAUAAAGACAGCCUCAAAAACCUCACAGAGGCCACUAACAUGUACAUAACGCAAGUCUCAGAACGAGGGAAGAAAUGGAAAGGGGCAGAGAGAACAUGUGAAGAAAUAAUGGCAGAAACCUUCCCAAACAGAAUGAAGACAUUAAUCUAUACAUCCAAGGAGCUCAUCAAAUUCCAAGUAAGAUAAACUCAAAGAGAUUCACACACCGAUACACACCCUGCAGAAAGACAGAGAACCGUGACAGCAGGAAGGUAGCAGUGACUCAUCACACAGAAGGACUCUGCCUAAGGUAACAGCUGGUUUCUCAUCAGAAACCAUGGAGACAGAAGGCAGUGGGAGGACAUUUCCAAACUGCUGAUAGAAAAACCCUGGUCAACCAAGAAUUCUAUAUACCACAAAACUAUCCUUUAAAAUGAAGGAGAGAUAAACAAACACCAAGAGAGUUUGUUGCUAGCAGACCGGCCCUACAAGAAAUACUAGAGUUCUUUGGACUAAAAUGCAAGGAUUUUAGAUGCAACUCAAAUACACACAACGGCAUAAAAACACCAGUAAAGGUAGCUACAUAGAUAAAUAUAAAAGACUAUAAGAGCAUGUUUUUAACUCUUUUUUUCCUAUCUGGUUUAAAAGAAAAUAGCAUAAACAAUUAUAAAUCUGUGGUGAUGGAAGAUGUAAAUCCUACCUCAUCAGGAAUUACAUAAAAUAUGAAUGGAUUAAACACUCUAGUCAAAAGGCAGAGAUCAGCAGAAUAGACAAAAAUAACAUGAUCCAACUCUGUGCUGUUUGCAAGAGAUAUACUUUAUAUCCAAAGACACAAGUAAGCUGAAACUAAAAGGACAGAAAAAGGUACACCAUGGAAACAGUAACCAAAAAAGCAGUGGAGUGGUUACACUACUAUCAGACAAAAUAGGGUGUAAGAUAAAGUUGUUACUAGAUGCAAAGUAGGAUACUUUAUAAUGAUAGAAGUGUCAAUCUAUCAAGAAGAUAUAAAUAAUAUGCACCAAAAACAAGAGAAUAAAUUAAAGGAAGCAGUAGCUGAUAGAACUGAAGAGAAAAAAGUUAACAAUAAUAGUCAGAGAUUACAACUCCCCACUUUCAAUAAUGGAUAGAACAACUGGACAAAAGAUUGAUAAAGAAAUAAUAGACCUGAACAAUACUAUAAGCCAACCAGACUUACCCAACAUCUAUGGAACACUGCACCCAACAAUGGCCGGACAGACAUUCUUCUCAAGUGAACAUGGAACAUUCUCCAGUACAUACAAUAUGUUUGGCCAUAGAUUUCAAUAAAGUCUCAAUACAUUUAAAAGGAUUAAAAUCAUAAAGAGUAUGUUUUCUGAUCACAACGGAAUGAAACUAGACAUCAGUAUCAGAAGGAAAUCUGGGGAUUCACAAACAUGUGGAAACUAAUCGACACUCACCUAAAUAAUCAACCAAAGAAGAAAUCAUAAGGGAAAUUAGGAAAUACUUUGAGAAGAAUGAAAACAAAAACACAACAUACUAAAACUUAUGGGAUAUUCCUGAGGAACCGUUUUCCAGAGUGGCUGCAAUACUUUCCAUUCUCACCAGUGAAAUAUUAAGUUUCCAGUUUCCCCACAUCUUCGUCAACACUUGUUAUUACCUGGCUUUUUUUUUAUACCCACCUAGAGGAUGGGAGUGGUAUUUCAUUGUGGAUUUGAUUUGCAUUUCUCUGAUGACUAAUGAUGUUGAGUAUGUCUCCAGGUGCUUAUUGGUCAUUUGUAUGUCUUCUUUGGAGAAAUUCUAUUCAGAUCCUUUGCUCAUUCUUUAAUUAGGUUAUUUGUCUUUUUAUUGUUGCGUUACAAGAGCACUUUACAUAUUUGGUCACUAGACCCUUAUCAGAUAUAUAAUUUGAAAAUCUUUUCUUCCAUUCUGUAGGUUAUCUUUUCACUUUCUUGGCAUUGUCCUUUGAACCACAAAAGUUUCUUUAUUAGAAUCUCUCCGACGAUAUCAAGGUUGGUGGGGAUGCAGAGCAACUGGAACUCUCAUACGUUGCUGGUGGGAAUGUAAGAUGGUUCAGCCCAGUUGGAAAAUGGCUCAGCAGGUUCUAAUUACCUUAAACGCCCACUCACCAUGUGACCCAGCAGGCCCACUCCUGGGUAUUUAUCCAAGUGAAAUGAAAACAUACAUUUUACAUAAGGACCUAUACACUAAUGUUUACAGUAGCUCUACUCAUAAUUGCCAAAUAGUAGAAACCACCCAGAUGGUCUCCAUCUGGGGAACGGGUAACAAAGUGUGAUUUCACAUACAAGGGAGCCCUAAAGAGCACAAAUGGACCAGACAACGUGAAUGGAUCUCAAGAGCUUCGAGGGGAUGAAAGCAGUCAGUCUCAAAAGGUUGCAUGUUGUACUAUUCCCUUCACUCAGAAAAAGGGAAAGCGAUGGGGAUGGAGGAUAGAUCAAUACCUGCCAGGGAGGAAGGGUGAGGUGAGGUUGUGACCUCAAAGCUGUAGCUCAAGACAAUUUUGAGGGUGAUGAAGCCUUUCUGUAUCUUGAUUGUGGCUGUGACUCCAAGGGCUCCAGACAUUGGUCAAGACGCACAUAUCUUUAUGCCCAGAAGAGUGAGUUUUACCAAAUGUACGUUAAAAAUAAAUUUUUUAAAAAACUAAGGAAGAGAAAAUAUUCGGAGAUGAACAGUGACCUAGCGAUCAACAAAUUGUUCAAACACUUAAUUAUUUUUCUUAGGCUAUCUCACUCAUUAAGAUGUUAUCUCUUCGAUGGCAGUAAUCAGCUGUUAUUAAUCUGCGAGGGCCUGAAUCUAAUGUACUGGCUGCCCCAAGCAGGUACCAGUGUGCUGAAUGAACUUUAUUGUUCUUCUUGAUUAGUUUUGACCCCCACGGUUUCUUAAUGGCUGCAGUGAUUAUAUUUGAUCUCAUGAUGAACCUAUACAUGUAAGGAAGUUGGUGCGCAUUUUUAACUGGAGAUAAUAGUGUCGAUGUGGUUUGUACUUAUUCUAUUGUGUCGUCAGAGUCUCUUUCCAUUGAUUCAUGUUGUUGUUGUUAUUAUUACAUACAAUAUCAUGAGGUUACUUUUCUAGAUGUGAUGCUAUCUUUAUGGAAUCUGUUAUGAUUUGGACUAUACUACUUUUCAUUGCUGUCUGAGUUAUACGGUGUCUGUAAGCUCUCAUGGUCCCUUUGUUUUGCCAGCACUAAGUAGAUCCUGCAUGAGAACCAUUUUCAUGUUGCCAUUGCAAUAAGCUGCCUUUCACAGACGUAGGAACUGCUGUGCUUGGAGACACUUUAUAGAUAUUAGCAUGAACAUGUAACAGCAUGUAUCUUCGCCAACGUCAGUGAUCAUAGGACACACUUUAUAGAUAUUAGCCUGAACAUGUAACAGCAUGUAUCUUCGCCAACAUCAGUGAUCAUAGGAGACACUUUAUAGAUACUAGCAUGAACAUGUAACAGCAUGUCUCUUCACCAACGUCAGUGAUCAUAGCACACUGGCUGUCUCUCAUUGGCUGAAGCAUUUUGUUCCCCAAUCUCCAACUCUCUGGACAGAAGAACUUAUGUAGGGCUGCCUCUGAGUGCCAGGUGGUAGCAGGGCAGCAUCACCUGUCUCCGGGCGUCAGUGAGAGUCUCACGAUGGGGAACCGGUGCUGCUGGAUCAUCUCUGCGACGGCUGAACAUCCGUGUUCCCCUAAAAUGUGUAGAGUGCAGCUCUAAACUCCAGACGGUAUCUGGAGGCUUUGAGAGGUGAUCAGGUUUAGAUGAGGUCGUGAGAGUGAUGCCCCCAUGACGAGAUUUGUGCCCUUAGAAGAGAAAGAAGAUCUCUCUCUGCACACACUGGAGAGAAGGCUGUGAGGGACACAGCGAGAAGGUGGUGUCUGCAAGCCCGGAAGAGGUUCUCACCAGGAACUGAAUGUACUGGCCCCUUGAUCUUGGACUCCCAGCCUCCAGAACUCCUUCUUACUGGCAAGUGACUGAAACAGUUUACCGGGCGCAGAAGUGGCAGAAAGACUCCCCACUGAGCACACACGAUCUUCACCUGCACAUCUGCCAGACUGAGGAGGCCUCUCCAGGCUGACUUGAGUCCUCUCCAGGAGGCAGGAGGCUGCCAGGGUUCCAGAGAGCCGCCUUCUUCAGGGCAUCCAGACAAGUCGCUUCCAGACCCUCUUACAACGUGGAAGAUUGCCAUUUUGUCUGCGCCUCCUGGCAUCCAAGGAAACCUGCAAGACUGCUGUCGUCAGCGGGACAAUUCCGAAGGGCACCUUUCAAAUGAGUUCAUAUCUGAGGACUGGUGGACAUGAUGAGCUCGUGGGCGACGCUAGGAAACGAGCUGCAGCAGCUCUUCUCCGUGUCUCAAGGACGGCUCAGCGGACACGGUGGAUUUAAGGCAUAUGGACAUGGCGGAAGCAAACCUUCAUCCUCAAACCGAGAGGCAGGCAGAGUUACACUAGCUUGACCGUAGACCGUAUUAAAUCCAACGAAGUGUGUUACCACAGCUCGGGUGACUGGAUUCUUUAUCUUUCCAAUGUUUUUCCUCAAGGAAAAGCGUGACAGCAGAUCUGGACAUUUGUGACGGGCAUAUCCCCCGAUUUUCCAUUUCCUGACGCUCACACACCUCUGCAUUCCCAAGAGCAAGCGGUAAAUUGGGUAUGGCCCAAACUGAGAUCACUCAUUCGAGCUCCCGCUGUGUGGGCACGGGACCAAAGUCGCUUACGAAAGUGCCGUCUGGUAGAAAGCCCCCACUUUCCUGGAGCCGCCUCUUCACCUUCAUCGCCAGCGCUAGCGGGUGGCAUCCUUCCUGGGACGGCGUUAGUCAGCGAUGCUCCCGGAGAUGGGGGUGGAGGGGCCUCACCCCCAUGCUUUCUUUUGGGCCUUAUAAUGCUUGAGAUUCAAACUAGCGCCUGAAUAAUAGCAAAACCGGAUCUCUGCAGCCUUGCCCGUUAUCCAGAACUGUUGUGCUCGCCUCUAAGAAGGACCCUCAAAGCACAAACUUGCCCACGUGGAGUUUGCUCAGUUCGUCCCUGGAGUCCCCAGGAUUAAGUGAGCCCUGAGCGAAUCUCUACUACUCGGGGUAUCGAGCCUGCCUGCCCUUCCUCUAGACAGUGUCUUGCGUUCUCUCCUCUUAUUUUACACGUUGUCUAAGACACUGAGUUACUCAGUGUCUCAGAAACAGAAGCACCCUUGGGAGCCUUCCUUCCUGCAUCAGCUCCUGGUCCCCAGUGAAUC
Long non-coding RNA from Orcinus orca (killer whale), 5436 nucleotides. RefSeq lists it as uncharacterized. The record is from RefSeq and is a predicted model, not a curated record. Lineage: Eukaryota; Metazoa; Chordata; Mammalia; Artiodactyla; Delphinidae. The transcript is spliced from 3 exons.